UCAAUGUGGACAUCCGGUAAGGUUGCUCUUGCAUGGCUCUGUCCAAGUGGCUUAUAGGAGCGUAGGACUACAGUGCCGUGCCACAACAUUGACAGCAAGCCUGUUCCCAGCCUUUGGGCUGGUAGGGAUGGCAUCCUGCAUAUUCCUGCCUUCCCAGAGCCUCUGGGCCAUGACUGGGGAGGCAAACCAUGUAGUGCACAAUU
This 203-nucleotide small nucleolar RNA is filed under the name Oncorhynchus mykiss (rainbow trout). RNAcentral describes it as "Small nucleolar RNA SNORA73 family (ENSOMYG00000028133.2)". It matches the Rfam family "Small nucleolar RNA SNORA73 family". Rfam says of the family: U17 (SNORA73A and SNORA73B) also known as E1 belongs to the H/ACA class of small nucleolar RNAs (snoRNAs). Vertebrate U17 is intron-encoded and ranges in length from 200-230 nucleotides, longer than most snoRNAs. Lineage: Eukaryota; Metazoa; Chordata; Actinopteri; Salmoniformes; Salmonidae. The record is from RNAcentral.